This 200-nucleotide ribosomal RNA is filed under the name uncultured organism. RNAcentral describes it as "partial small subunit ribosomal RNA". It matches the Rfam family "Bacterial small subunit ribosomal RNA", at positions 1184 to 1382 of the family's 1533-position model. The record is from RNAcentral.
GUCAAAUCAUCAUGCCCCUUAUGUCCUGGGCUACACACGUACUACAAUGGCCGGUACAAAGGGCAGCGAAGGGGUGACCCGGAGCAAAUCCCAUCAAAGCCGGUCCCAGUUCGGAUUGUAGUCUGCAACUCGACUACAUGAAGUCGGAAUCGCUAGUAAUCGCAGGUCAGCAUACUGCGGUGAAUACGUUCCCGGGCCUU